Molecule: non-coding RNA, 26 nt
Filed under: Rattus norvegicus (Norway rat)
Lineage: Eukaryota; Metazoa; Chordata; Mammalia; Rodentia; Muridae
Source: RNAcentral
UCCUGAACGAUGUCUGUGAAAGAGGU